UACGUAGGUGGCAAGCGUUGUCCGGAUUUAUUGGGUUUAAAGGGUGCGUAGGCGGUCCUAUAAGUCAGUGGUGAAAUACUCCAGCUCAACUGGAGAGGUGCCAUUGAUACUGCAGGACUAGAGUACUGAUGAGGUAGGCGGAAUGGACGGUGUAGCGGUGAAAUGCUUAGAUAUCGUCCAGAACACCGAUAGCGAAGGCAGCUUACUAAAGAGUAACUGACGCUGAGGCACGAAAGUGUGGGGAUCAAACAGG
RNAcentral lists this ribosomal RNA (253 nucleotides) under uncultured bacterium. RNAcentral describes it as "partial 16S ribosomal RNA". It matches the Rfam family "Bacterial small subunit ribosomal RNA", at positions 524 to 776 of the family's 1533-position model. The record is from RNAcentral.